GACGAACGCUGGCGGCGUGCCUAAUACAUGCAAGUCGAGCGGCCGCUUCGAAAGCUUGCUCUUGUAUCGUUAGCGGCGCACGGGUGAGUUACAUGUGGGCAUCCUCUCCUGUAGACGGUGAUAACACCGAGAACUCGUUGCUACUACCGGCUAACACGAAAUGUCGCAUGACGUUCCUUUGAACUGCCGCUCUAGCUUCCGCUACAGGCUGGUUCGGCGGCGCAUUAGCUAGUUGGUGAGGUAAAGGCUCACCAAGGCGACGAUGAGUAGCCGACCUGAGAGGGUGAUCGGCCACACUGGGACUGAGACACGGCCCAGACUCCUACGGGAGGCAGCAGUAGGGAAUCUUCCGCAAUGGACGAAAGUCUGACGGAGCAACGCCGCGUGAGCGAAGAAGGCCUUCGGGUCGUAAAGCUCUGUUGUUAGGGAAGAACAAGUAACGUAGUAACUGACGUUACGAUGACGGUACCUAAAGAGAAAGCCACGGCUAACUACGUG
RNAcentral lists this ribosomal RNA (498 nucleotides) under uncultured bacterium. RNAcentral describes it as "partial 16S ribosomal RNA". It matches the Rfam family "Bacterial small subunit ribosomal RNA", at positions 28 to 507 of the family's 1533-position model. The record is from RNAcentral.